UUCUUGAACAUUUAUUAUAUGCAAAUUACUGUCUUAGGCAUUUGGGAGUACAGGCAUGAGAAGACAGAGGGUUGUUUGGUGGAUAUUUUAGGACACUCCAGAUAUAUUAGCAUGGAGUUCCCGUCGUGGCUCCGUGGAAAUGAAUCUGACUAGUAUCCAUGAGGAUACGGGUUUGAUCCCUGGCCUCGGUCAGUGGGUUAAGGAUCCAGUGUUGCCAUGAGCAGUGGUGUAGGUUGCAGACAUGGCUUGGAUCCGAAGUUGCUGUGACUGUGGCAUAGGCCAGCUGCUGUAGCUCUGAUUUGAUCCCUAGUCUGGGAACUUCCACAUGCCAUGGGUGUGGACCUAAAAGGCAAAAUAAAUAAAUAAAUAAAUUUUAAAACGAUAUAUUAGGAUGCCAUCUGAAAGAUCUUUCUGUGAAGACUCUUAAUUAUCAUCUCAUUUAUUUCCUUUAAAUCUUGUGAGAGGAGUUCCUGUUGUGGCUCAGUGGUUAACGAACCCAACUAGUACCCAUAAGGACGUGGGUUCGAUGCCUGGCCUCGCUCAGUGGGUUAAGGAUCCAGCAUUGCCGUGAACUGUAGUGUAGGUUGAAGACGUGGCUCGGAACCUGCAUUGCUGUGGUUGUGUGGUGUAGGCCGGCAGCAACAGCUCCAAUUCGACCCCUAGCCCGGGAACCUCCAUAUGCCUUGGGUGCAGCCCUAAAAAGACACACACACACAAACCUUGUGAGAAAUGCAGUGAUUUUCAAAGCCAGUAGUUCUUGAUCAUGGCAUGCAGCAUCUUAAUGUGGGAUCUCAGUUACCAGACCAGGGACUGAACCCGGGCCACAGUGGUGAAAGCUCUGAAUACUAACCACUAGACCACCAGGGAACUCCGAUUUUUUUUUCCUCUAAUUUUUUCCCCCAAUUUCCUCCAAUACAAUUUUUUUCUGUUCAUAUUCGUUCUCUCUUUUAUCUUAGCAUCUGACUCUCCAAAAAGGGCUACCUAAAUAGGUCAGCCUUAGGAAUUUCUCAAUGAAACUGCCCAAUGCAAACUCUCUGUAUUGAACCCCUGAGUCGGCCAAAACCCGUCCAUGCAGCCGUAGGGCUCCUCAGCAACUAGCUUGUAUAAAUUGUAUUUUUAUAUUCUUUAAUCGAGACAUAAAGAUCAUGGAGUUCCCUGAGAGCUCAGUGGGUUAAGGACCUGACAUUGUCACUGCUGUGGCUUGAAUUCAGUCCCAGGCCCGGGAACUUCCACAUGCCAUGGACAUGGCCAACAACAACCACAAAACUCGGAGUUCCUGUCGUGGCUCAGUGGUUAACGAAGCCAACUAGGAACCAUGAGGUUUUGAGUUUGAUCCUUGGCCUCGCUCAGUGGGUGAAGGAUCUGGUGUUGCCGUGAGCUGUGGUGUAGGUUGCAGACGCAGCUCGGGUCCUGCGUUUCUGUGGCUGGGGUGGAGGCUGGCAGCUGCAGCUCGGAUUAGACCCCUAGCCUGGGAACCUCCAUAUGCCACAGGUGCAGCCCUAGAAAAUACAAAAAUACAAAAAAAAAAAAAGAAAAAGAAAAAAAAA
Molecule: long non-coding RNA, 1547 nt
Filed under: Sus scrofa (pig)
Lineage: Eukaryota; Metazoa; Chordata; Mammalia; Artiodactyla; Suidae
Description: lncRNA (ENSSSCG00060002725.1)
Source: RNAcentral